Mycena rebaudengoi is the source of this 104-nucleotide non-coding RNA. NCBI's taxonomy places the organism in Eukaryota, Fungi, Basidiomycota, Agaricomycetes, Agaricales, Mycenaceae. The record is from the annotation of a GenBank genome assembly.
UCCGGUGUGGUGUAUCGGCUAACAUUACCGCCUCUCAGUGGAACCACGUGCUUUACGUAAGCUUCGCUGCGCGGUAGCGCGGGGUUCGACUCCCCGCACCGGAA